RNAcentral lists this ribosomal RNA (253 nucleotides) under uncultured bacterium. Its description in RNAcentral is "partial 16S ribosomal RNA". It matches the Rfam family "Bacterial small subunit ribosomal RNA", at positions 524 to 776 of the family's 1533-position model. The record is from RNAcentral.
UACAGAGGGUGCUAGCGUUAUUCGGAAUUACUGGGCGUAAAGCGCGCGCGGGCUGUUUGGCAAGUCUACUGUGAAAGCCUCCGUUUCAAGCGGAGAAGUGCAGUAGAUACUACCAGACUAGAGUGCAGGAGGGAGGAGCGGAAUUCCAGGUGUAGAGGUGAAAUUCGUAGAUAUCUGGAGGAACAACGGUGGCGAAGGCGGCUCCUUGGACUGUUACUGACGCUGAGGCGCGAAAGCGUGGGGAGCAAACAGG